CCCAUUCAGAGCACAAAACAAACCCCAAAGUGAUCUCUCUUUUUAGAUAUCCAUGGCGACAUACUCACAUAUGUUUAUCACCCUUGCCAUCCUCCUUUGUAUUCUCAGUGCCCACUUCCAAGCCCAAGGUAUGUAUAGACAUUGUAUUUGUUGGAGUUACUAGAUCUACAAAAAGAAGUGUGCUUUUACCAGAUUUGUAUCAACCUUACGGCAAUAUAGACAUAAUAAGGCCCUGAAUAUUUGGUUAAAAUACGCCUCGUGCAAAUACUAGGUACUGUCGUCUACAUAUCCGCUACUAGUACGAAAAUCUCAAGUUUUAACAUCUUGUAUGAUCUAUUAUAUAUACUACUAAUAAUAGCCUAAAAGGCCGAGCAAAACCUACUAGUACGUACUAUACAGGCUGACAAAGUCUGAACCGAUGGUUAUUCACAUGUUCCUCAAUGUUCAUAAAGUUUCGUAAUCACUUACCAUUUAUUGCUUAAGAAAUCUAACCUUUUUUUUAUUUAUUAAGCAUGAAUAUAUCUACUUAAGCGUAUGGUAAGUGAUGACUUUAUGAACAUUGAUGGAGUAGAAAAAGUCAUUGUGUGUGUGUGUGACUAAUUGCAUGUGUACCAGAACAAAAAUCACUAAAUAUUUAAUAUUUCUUAUGCUAUUUAUUUAUGGAUAAUUGAAUAUCCAUUCAAAUAGUAAAAUAGUUAUAGGGUUGAUAACCGUGUUGCCAAGCCACCCUUUCAAUGAUAACUUACCUAGGCUCAGCGAACCAACCUGUGGUUGGAUGGUUAGUGGGACUGUGUUAUCCUCAACCCACCAGGGUUCAAAACCUAAUGCUCGCAUUUACUCCUGGAUUUAUUUUAGGAUUUCCGGCUAUGCGCAUUCAGUGGGAGGAGACGUUCUCGUCAACGACGAGGUGCCUUCGGUGACUUCGUAAAUUUCAAGAUGAUAUGCCGGCUCAAUAUUUCGGAGGUGCUCAUAGGAGUAGGGUGUGCAUUUGUGCGUUCAUAGGGUGAGUGUAUGCGCGUGUAUAUGAGCGCUUGUAUCUUUAUUGAUGUUAAAAAAAACUAACCUAGGCUCAAAGUGUUAAAUGUUGCAUGGGUCCAUGCGUACGUGUGUCCCCUAAAAUGGAUUAUAUAUAAUUGCAAAUAUUUUUAGUAAAUGAAAUGGAGUUUUGUUGGUUGGACUUAUGAGUUCUUAUUUAGAUUCUCAUGCUAUAAAAAGUGAUGUCACUGCCCUUUGUCGUUAUUUUCAAUUAAACAUAAAUAUAUGAUGUUUAUGAUGAACAGGAGCAACAGAAAACAUUGCAACUGAUAACUCAGUGCGCGACAGGAAGACAAUUUUGCAAGGGACUUACUUACCUCAAACAACUGUUUCAAGAAGGUGCCAACCAUGCAAUACUUGUCCACAAAAAACUUGCUGCUACGAGAUAACUUGUAAUGGUCUCACUUGCGGCUUUCGUAGCCUGUAUUGUGGCUGUGAUAUUAAAACAUGCAAUCGUAACUUUUAAUACAUAUUUUUGCUUAUGAAAAUAUAUGGGAAUAAAGCAUGAUAGUUUGUAAUAAAAAUGUUUUAAAAUUGAGUCUCAGGUAUGAGUAAAAGAAGUAGAUGUCCU
This 1606-nucleotide long non-coding RNA is filed under the name Triticum aestivum (bread wheat). RNAcentral describes it as "long non-coding RNA (TAES_LNC022110)". Lineage: Eukaryota; Viridiplantae; Streptophyta; Magnoliopsida; Poales; Poaceae. The record is from RNAcentral.